ACUCCUACGGGGAGGCAGCAGUGGGGAAUAUUGCACAAUGGGGAAACCCUGAUGCAGCCAUGCCGCGUGUGUGAAGAAGGCCUCGGUUGUAAAGCACUUCUAGUAGGGAGGAAGGUAGUGUAGUUAACACCUGCAUUAUUUGUACGUUACCUACCAGAAGAAGCACCGGCUAACUCCGUGCCAGCAGCCGCGGUAAUACGGAGGGGUGCGAGCGUUAAUCGGAAUUACUGGGCGUAAAGCGCAUGCAGGCGGCCGUGUUAAGUUCAGAUGUGAAAGCCCGGGGGCUUAACCUCGGAAUUGCAUUUGAAACUGGCAGGCUAGAGUCUUGUAGAGGGGGUUAGGAAUUUCAGGUGUAGCGGUGAAAUGCGUAGAGAUCUGAAGGAAUACCAGUGGCGAAGGC
Molecule: ribosomal RNA, 400 nt
Filed under: uncultured bacterium
Lineage: Bacteria
Description: bacterial SSU rRNA
Rfam family: Bacterial small subunit ribosomal RNA
Source: RNAcentral